Molecule: unclassified non-coding RNA, 150 nt
Organism: Callithrix jacchus (white-tufted-ear marmoset)
Lineage: Eukaryota; Metazoa; Chordata; Mammalia; Primates; Cebidae
Rfam family: Metazoan signal recognition particle RNA
About the family: The signal recognition particle (SRP) is a universally conserved ribonucleoprotein. It is involved in the co-translational targeting of proteins to membranes.
Source: Ensembl
GCUGGGCAUGGUGGUGCAUGCCUGUAAUCCCAGCUACUCAGGAGGCUGAGGCAGGAGAAUUGCCUGAACCCAGGAGGUGGAAGUUGCGGUGAGCCGAGAUCGUGCCAUUGCAACUCCAGCCUGGGUAACAAGAGCAAAACUCUGUCUCAA